RNAcentral lists this transfer RNA (96 nucleotides) under Candidatus Methylomirabilota bacterium. RNAcentral's name for it is "tRNA-Ser". It matches the Rfam family "tRNA". Rfam says of the family: Transfer RNA (tRNA) molecules are approximately 80 nucleotides in length. Their secondary structure includes four short double-helical elements and three loops (D, anti-codon, and T loops). Further hydrogen bonds mediate the characteristic L-shaped molecular structure. tRNAs have two regions of fundamental functional importance: the anti-codon, which is responsible for specific mRNA codon recognition, and the 3' end, to which the tRNAs corresponding amino acid is attached (by aminoacyl-tRNA synthetases). tRNAs cope with the degeneracy of the genetic code in two manners: having more than one tRNA (with a specific anti-codon) for a particular amino acid; and 'wobble' base-pairing, i.e. permitting non-standard base-pairing at the 3rd anti-codon position. RNAcentral also lists the same sequence under 1 other name. The record is from RNAcentral. Lineage: Bacteria; Methylomirabilota (SeqCode).
GGAGGGGUACCGAAGUGGAUGUAACGGGCCCGACUCGAAAUCGGGUUGUCCUGCGAUGAGCGGGGCACGUGGGUUCGAAUCCCACCCCCUCCGCCA